This 774-nucleotide ribosomal RNA is filed under the name uncultured Neocallimastigales. Its description in RNAcentral is "partial large subunit ribosomal RNA". It matches the Rfam family "Eukaryotic large subunit ribosomal RNA", at positions 22 to 640 of the family's 3401-position model. The record is from RNAcentral. Lineage: Eukaryota; Fungi; Neocallimastigomycota; Neocallimastigomycetes; Neocallimastigales.
GUACACGCUGUGACUAGCAUAUCAAUAAGCGGAGGAAAAGAAACCAACAAGGAUUCCCUUAGUAACGGCGAGUGAGGCGGGAAGAGAUCAAAUUUGAAAUCUUCAAGGUUCUACCUUGACGAAUUGUAGUUUAAAGAAGUGUUUUCUGUUAGUGGAGUGGCAAAAGUUCUUUGGAAUAGGACAUCAUAGAGGGUGAGAAUCCCGUAUUUGGUCAUUCCUUCUAGCUUUGUGAUACACUUUCAAAGAGUCGGAUUGUUUGGGAAUGCAGUCCAAAAUGGGUGGUAAAUUUCAUCUAAAGCUAAAUACUGGCGAGAGACCGAUAGCGAACAAGUACCGUGAGGGAAAGAUGAAAAGAACUUUGAAAGGAGAGUUAAACAGUACGUGAAAUUGUCAAAAGGGAAGCGUUUGACACCAGUGUUGUUUUCUCGAAAAUCAAUUAAAAAGAGUUGGAUUUUGUGUUGUAUUGACCUUAACAGCUUGCUUCACUCUUUUCCUGCUUUUUUUAAUGCACUUUUCGUUUAACAAGUCAACAUCAGUUUCUUUUGUUGUAAAAGGGUCAUUGGAAGGUGGCUUUCUCUUCGGAGAAAGUGUUUAUAGCCUUUGAUCUCUGCAAUCGGAGAGACUGGGGUCUGCAGCGUAGAUCCUUCGGGGUUAGAUACACUUGUGCUAAGUUAUAGCUUUUCAUAGACAACUUGUUGACUAUGUUUAGUCUUGUAGCAUACUCGCUUGUGCUAUUUUACCUACGCUUAGGAUGUUGACACACGCGCGUGCUCG